GGUAGAAUGGCUGAGGUUUAAGCGGUAAAUUGUAAAUUUACAGACGAAAGUUAUUUCUUCUAUCA
Molecule: transfer RNA, 65 nt
Filed under: Trigonopterus ancora
Lineage: Eukaryota; Metazoa; Arthropoda; Insecta; Coleoptera; Curculionidae
Description: tRNA-Tyr
Rfam family: tRNA
About the family: Transfer RNA (tRNA) molecules are approximately 80 nucleotides in length. Their secondary structure includes four short double-helical elements and three loops (D, anti-codon, and T loops).
Source: RNAcentral